Molecule: ribosomal RNA, 497 nt
Filed under: uncultured bacterium
Lineage: Bacteria
Description: partial 16S ribosomal RNA
Rfam family: Bacterial small subunit ribosomal RNA
Source: RNAcentral
GAUGAACGCUGGCGGCGUGCCUAAUACAUGCAAGUCGAGCGAACAGACGAGGAGCUUGCUCCUCUGACGUUAGCGGCGGACGGGUGAGUAACACGUGGAUAACCUACCUAUAAGACUGGGAUAACUUCGGGAAACCGGAGCUAAUACCGGAUAACAUGUUGAACCGCAUGGUUCAACAGUGAAAGACGGUUUUGGUGUCACUUAAAGAUGGCUCCGCGCCGCAUUAGCUAGUUGGUAAGGUAAAGGAUUACCAAGGCAACGAUGCGUAGCCGACCUGAGAGGGUGAUCGGCCACACUGGAACUGAGACACGGUCCAGACUCCUACGGGAGGCAGCAGUAGGGAAUCUUCCGCAAUGGGCGAAAGCCUGACGGAGCAACGCCGCGUGAGUGAAGAAGGUCUUCGGAUCGUAAAACUCUGUUAUUAGGGAAGAACAAAUGUGUAAGUAACUAUGCACGUCUUGACGGUACCUAAUCAGAAAGCCACGGCUAACUACGUG